Long non-coding RNA from Gordionus sp. m RMFG-2023, 818 nucleotides. RefSeq lists it as uncharacterized. The transcript has 4 exons. Lineage: Eukaryota; Metazoa; Nematomorpha; Gordioida; Chordodea; Parachordodidae. The record is from RefSeq and is a predicted model, not a curated record.
AUAAAUAUUUAAAAAAAGUUGUUUAUUAUUUUUUUUAAUAAAUUUUUUUUUACGUAUUUUUUUUAUCUAAUGGAAAAAAUGAUUUUUCCCAAGCUAAUCAAAAUAUGACUGAAACGAUUAACCUACCAGCUUCCAAUACAGAAAACACUCAACUAUAUGCUAUAACUAAAAAUUAAAUGUUUAUUGUUUAUUAAAAUACAUUGGCAAUCAAAUUAUCUUCAUCUCAAAUUAUUUCAAAAAAUAUGUUAGGCACUCAAGUUAAGAUCAGUUUUACUUUUCUAUAUUUAAUAUAACAAAAAAAAUAGCAACAAACUUAUAUUCCCAAUAUCAUUUUUAAAAUAUACCUAAAAAUUUAGGCCCUCAGUCAAAAACUAUUACAGCUACAUUCGAAUUCUCUUCAUCUCAAAAUAUUUCAAAAAAUAUCUUAGGCACUCAAAUUAAGCUACCAAAUAAAUACAACCAAAACUUUAGACUACACUGGAUAUUCUCUUCAAAAUCUUUCAAAAUUUUUUUAGGAAACCAUAAAUAAAACAAAUAGUUAUUAUAUAUUUAGAAUGUUUAUAUUAAAUUUAAAAAUAUAUUGGAACCAAAUACAAUCUAAUAGAGCUUCCAGAAAACAAUACAAUCAAGAUUUCAAAAACCUAAUAAAAAGCAAUUUAUAAUUUAUAUUGUAUUCUAUUAUAUCAAAUUUUAUUUCUGUAUAUAUAUUUACAAUUAUAUUAUUGUAUUUUAUAAUACAUAAUUUUAAUUAUAUAUAUAUAGAAUUAUAAUAUAUUAUUGUGUUCUUACAAAUUUUAUUUCUAUAUAUUUCUAAAAUA